RNAcentral lists this ribosomal RNA (486 nucleotides) under uncultured bacterium. Its description in RNAcentral is "partial 16S ribosomal RNA". It matches the Rfam family "Bacterial small subunit ribosomal RNA", at positions 30 to 507 of the family's 1533-position model. The record is from RNAcentral.
AUUGAACGCUGGCGGCAUGCCUUACACAUGCAAGUCGAACGGCAGCACGGGUGCUUGCUCCUGUUGGCGAUUGGCGGACGGGUGCGUAAUACAUCUGCACCGGUCCUUUCUUUGUGGUUGGCCCGGCGGAAGCCGGAUUUAUACCACAUCCGAACCACGCAUGCAGGCGGGGGCCCUGGGGGCUUCGCGCUUUCGGGUUGGCCGAUGGCUGAUUAGCUAGUUGGUGGGGUAAAGGCCUACCAAGGCGACGAUCAGUAGCUGGUCUGAGAGGACGAUCAGCCACACUGGGACUGAGACACGGCCCAGACUCCUACGGGAGGCAGCAGUGGGGAAUUUUGGACAAUGGGCGAAAGCCUGAUCCAGCAAUGCCGCGUGUGUGAAGAAGGCCUUCGGGUUGUAAAGCACUUUUGUCCGGAAAGAAAAGCUUGACUCUAAUACAGUCGGGGGAUGACGGUACCGGAAGAAUAAGCACCGGCUAACUACGUG